RNAcentral lists this ribosomal RNA (253 nucleotides) under uncultured bacterium. RNAcentral describes it as "partial 16S ribosomal RNA". It matches the Rfam family "Bacterial small subunit ribosomal RNA", at positions 524 to 776 of the family's 1533-position model. The record is from RNAcentral.
UACGUAGGGGGCAAGCGUUAUCCGGAUUUACUGGGUGUAAAGGGAGCGCAGACGGCAGUGCAAGUCUGGAAUGAAAGCCCGGGGCCCAACCCCGGAACUGCUCUGGAAACUGUGCGGCUAGAGUACUGGAGGGGCAGGCGGAAUUCCUAGUGUAGCGGUGAAAUGCGUAGAUAUUAGGAGGAACACCAGUGGCGAAGGCGGCCUGCUGGACAGUAACUGACGUUGAGGCUCGAAAGCGUGGGGAGCAAACAGG